RNAcentral lists this ribosomal RNA (747 nucleotides) under Prymnesium sp. RCC1948. Its description in RNAcentral is "SSU rRNA". It matches the Rfam family "Eukaryotic small subunit ribosomal RNA", at positions 627 to 1376 of the family's 1831-position model. The record is from RNAcentral. Lineage: Eukaryota; Haptophyta; Prymnesiales; Prymnesiaceae.
CUCGUAGUCGGAUUUCGGGGCGGGGCCGCCGGUCUGCCGAUGGGUACGCACUGGCGGGCGCGUCCUUCCUUCCGGAGACUGGCCCUACUCUUAGCUGAGCGGGGUCGGGAGUCGGAUCGUUUACUUUGAAAAAAUCAGAGUGUUUCAAGCAGGCAGCUCGCUCUUGCAUGGAUUAGCAUGGGAUAAUGAAAUAGGACUUUGGUGCUAUUUUGUUGGUUUCGAACACCGAAGUAAUGAUUAACAGGGACAGUCAGGGGCACUCGUAUUCCGCCGAGAGAGGUGAAAUUCUCAGACCAGCGGAAGACGAACCACUGCGAAAGCAUUUGCCAGGGAUGUUUUCACUGAUCAAGAACGAAAGUUAGGGGAUCGAAGACGAUCAGAUACCGUCGUAGUCUUAACCAUAAACCAUGCCGACUAGGGAUCGGCGGAAGUCCUUCUUUGACUCCGUCGGCACCUUGAGGGAAACUAUAGUCUUUGGGUUCCGGGGGGAGUAUGGUCGCAAGGCUGAAACUUAAAGGAAUUGACGGAAGGGCACCACCAGGAGUGGAGCCUGCGGCUUAAUUUGACUCAACACGGGGAAACUUACCAGGUCCAGACAUUGUGAGGAUUGACAGAUUGAGAGCUCUUUCUUGAUUCGAUGGGUGGUGGUGCAUGGCCGUUCUUAGUUGGUGGAGUGAUUUUGUCCUGGGUUAAUUCCGUUAACGAACGAGACCUUAGCCUAUUAAAUAGUGGCGCGAACGCUUUGUU